CCUACGGGGGGCUGCAGUCGAGAAUCUUCCACAAUGGACGAAAGUCUGAUGGAGCGACGCCGCGUGAUUGAUGAAGUCCCUUUGGGACGUAAAGAUCUUUUAUGAGGGAAGAAGUUUAUUGACUGUACCUCAUGAAUAAGAGGCUCCUAAUCUCGUGCCAGCAGGAGCGGUAAUACGAGAGCCUCAAGCGUUAUCCGGAAUUAUUGGGCGUAAAGGGUGCGUAGGUUGUUUUGUUAGUCAUUUGUUAAAUCCCCGAGCUUAACUUGGGGUAGGCGAUUGAAACGGCAAAACUUGAAAGUGUGAGAGGCGUACGGAACUUAUGGUGUAGGGGUGAAAUCCGUUGAUAUCAUAGGGAACACCAAAUGCGAAAGCAGUACGCUGGCGCAUAUUUGACACUGAAGCACGAAAGCGUGGGUAGCGAAUGGGAUUAGAUACCCCAGUAGUC
RNAcentral lists this ribosomal RNA (445 nucleotides) under uncultured bacterium. RNAcentral's name for it is "bacterial SSU rRNA". It matches the Rfam family "Bacterial small subunit ribosomal RNA", at positions 338 to 795 of the family's 1533-position model. The record is from RNAcentral.